AAUGAACGCUGGCGGCGCGUCUAAUACAUGCAAGUCGAGCGAGAAGACGUAGCAAUACGUUUGUAAAGCGGCGAACGGGUGAGGAAUACAUGGGUAACCUACCCUCGAGUGGGGAAUAACUAGCCGAAAGGUUAGCUAAUACCGCGUACGCUUCUUGGACUUCGGUUCAGGGAGGAAAGCGAUACCGUGGGUAUCGCGCUCUUGGAUGGGCUCAUGUCCUAUCAGCUUGUUGGUGAGGUAACGGCUCACCAAGGCUUCGACGGGUAGCUGGUCUGAGAGGACGAUCAGCCACACUGGCACUGCGACACGGGCCAGACUCCUACGGGAGGCAGCAGUAAGGAAUAUUGCGCAAUGGGCGAAAGCCUGACGCAGCGACGCCGCGUGGGGGAUGAAGGUCUUCGGAUUGUAAACCCCUUUCGGGAGGG
Molecule: ribosomal RNA, 425 nt
Filed under: uncultured bacterium
Lineage: Bacteria
Description: bacterial SSU rRNA
Rfam family: Bacterial small subunit ribosomal RNA
Source: RNAcentral